GACGAACGCUGGCGGCGUGCUUAACACAUGCAAGUCGAACGGAAAGGCCCUGCUUUUGUGGGGUGCUCGAGUGGCGAACGGGUGAGUAACACGUGAGUAACCUGCCCUUGACUUUGGGAUAACUUCAGGAAACUGGGGCUAAUACCGGAUAGGAGCUCCUGCUGCAUGGUGGGGGUUAAAGUUUCGGCGGUUGGGGAUGGACUCGCGGCUUAUCAGCUUGUUGGUGGGGUAGUGGCUUACCAAGGCUUUGACGGGUAGCCGGCCUGAGAGGGUGACCGGCCACAUUGGGACUGAGAUACGGCCCAGACUCCUACGGGAGGCAGCAGUGGGGAAUAUUGCACAAUGGGCGGAAGCCUGAUGCAGCAACGCCGCGUGCGGGAUGACGGCCUUCGGGUUGUAAACCGCUUUCGCCUGUGACGAAGCGUGAGUGACGGUAAUGGGUAAAGAAGCACCGGCUAACUACGUG
This 466-nucleotide ribosomal RNA is filed under the name uncultured bacterium. Its description in RNAcentral is "partial 16S ribosomal RNA". It matches the Rfam family "Bacterial small subunit ribosomal RNA", at positions 28 to 507 of the family's 1533-position model. The record is from RNAcentral.